AUGCGCGCAACGCCCGUUCCCAAAACCCCCGGACGAAAACACGGGUUUAUCAGGGGGGCCCCCAAAUCCCUCUCCCUUCGCCCCGCAUUUCGCCACUUGCCUCAGCAAACGUGUGAAGGGCCUGAGGAUUCCGCACGGCAGCAACGGGGCUGGGAAAAGAAGUGGAGGGGAGGGGAGGGGCGCGGGAUGGGUUCCCCUCGCUUUUUCUUACAGUGGGAAGCGGGGCGCUUCACCCAGAUUUAGGAGGGAUGCGUGUGGUGGUGGUGGGCGCUUGAUCACGCUCCGCUGCUGGCCCUCGGUUGCUACGGGUUUCGCGGGUCCCGGCGGCGUUGCUUUCCUGCCGAGCUUUUCAAUCGCGCUCCGCGGUUUCCACGUGGACCGGCCGACGUCUCGCCAGGUCGAUCUGCUUGCUUAAGACUGCCGCCGCAGCCUGCCUGCCGGUCGCUUGCCCACGUCUUCCUUCUGUUGCUCUUCCACUUGCUUGGCGACCGGGAUCGUGGCUUGGCCAGCGCGGGGAGAAAUGAUGCGAUAUUCCGGGCCGUCAUUGGCCACGCAAGACGGGCGGGAACACGAGGGCGGCGAUCGCGGGCGAUCUCAGCGCGGGCGGGUUUGGCCCCCAGCGCGCCUCCGCCUCCGCCUGGCGCAAGCGGGAGGAUUGCAGGGCUCGAAUGGAGCCGCAGCGCAAGAACGCGUGGGAGGCGAUGGCGAGGAGCCUCUGAGAAUAAGCAGAGCGCCCCUGCUUCGAAGCCACAGGAGGGACCCUCCGAUCCCAUCCUUUUAAGAAAACGGGGUCGGUCCAGUCAGAGGUCAGAUGUUCAGGGGAACAAGCGCUGCCUCGGUUCCCGUGCAUCCAGGUCUCUUUUCAAAAUGUGGAGACCCCCCCCUUUAAGAACAACCCUCUCAUGUGGAAGAAAAACCCACAGCGGCGCCACAGGCGUGUGUCCGAAUUUGGGGAAAAAUAUGGCGGCGGCUGCAAGGCUGUUCCUCGGCCUUAUGAAAUCCUCGCUCUCGG
RNAcentral lists this long non-coding RNA (1012 nucleotides) under Naja naja (Indian cobra). RNAcentral describes it as "lncRNA (ENSNNAG00000007393.1)". The record is from RNAcentral. Lineage: Eukaryota; Metazoa; Chordata; Lepidosauria; Squamata; Elapidae.